ACGUAGGGUGCGAGCGUUGUCCGGAAUUACUGGGCGUAAAGAGCUUGUAGGCGGUUUGUCGCGUCGUCCGUGAAAACUUGGGGCUCAACCCCAAGCUUGCGGGCGAUACGGGCAGACUUGAGUACUGCAGGGGAGACUGGAAUUCCUGGUGUAGCGGUGAAAUGCGCAGAUAUCAGGAGGAACACCGGUGGCGAAGGCGGGUCUCUGGGCAGUAACUGACGCUGAGAAGCGAAAGCGUGGGUAGCGAACAG
Molecule: ribosomal RNA, 251 nt
Filed under: uncultured prokaryote
Description: partial 16S ribosomal RNA
Rfam family: Bacterial small subunit ribosomal RNA
Source: RNAcentral